Cyprinus carpio (common carp) is the source of this 609-nucleotide long non-coding RNA. RefSeq lists it as uncharacterized. NCBI's taxonomy places the organism in Eukaryota, Metazoa, Chordata, Actinopteri, Cypriniformes, Cyprinidae. The record is from RefSeq and is a predicted model, not a curated record.
AUGCACAUACACAUAAUAGUUUAGAAAAUAGUUCAUACAAUCAUGCAAGCAUUAAUUUGAAAAUGCUCUCGUGUUGUUUUUUGUUUUAAUUUUUUUUUGAGCCAUCAUGCAUUUAAGCAACGCUUUGUAACUUUAUGGCCCUCUAGCGGUUGAAGUAUUAAACUACAAGUCACAUGCGGAGGAAUAUUGUUUUGAUAAUUACGUGAGUUGUGCUUCGGCUCUGCUACUUUUGUGGUUUUCAUUCCUGUAAAAAAUUAAACGUCGCUACCCUAAAGUCUCUAACAAAAGACGGAUAUAUAAAAAUAUGUUUUGAGCAGACUUACAUCCAUUGCUGCGGCACUGGUUUCCAUGCUCUGCUGGUGACUCCUCAGAAGCAGCUGUAAAUCCUCCAGGCUCAUGUCAACAUUCUCCACACCAUCAGGAAUCUCUGAUCUUACAUAUAAAUUAAAAUAGAUUUUUCAGUGAAGUAAAAUAUCCUCGGCCCUCUAGGACGGACUGUACCAUGGCAACAGGGAGGACGGGGGGUUCAGUGCACACCUCACAGGAGCCAAGUGGUACACCCUCUCCUCGUCCCUGCACCCCAGGACUCACUGGCUCUUCCUUAAUCAG